RNAcentral lists this ribosomal RNA (544 nucleotides) under Alternaria alternata f. sp. mali. RNAcentral describes it as "eukaryotic LSU rRNA". The stretch from base 170 to 323 matches the Rfam family "5.8S ribosomal RNA". Lineage: Eukaryota; Fungi; Ascomycota; Dothideomycetes; Pleosporales; Pleosporaceae. The record is from RNAcentral.
AGGUUACAAUAUGGAAGGCGGGCUGGAACCUCUCGGGGUUACAGCCUUGCUGAAUUAUUCACCCUUGUCUUUUGCGUACUUCUUGUUUCCUUGGUGGGUUCGCCCACCACUAGGACAAACAUAAACCUUUUGUAAUUGCAAUCAGCGUCAGUAACAAAUUAAUAAUUACAACUUUCAACAACGGAUCUCUUGGUUCUGGCAUCGAUGAAGAACGCAGCGAAAUGCGAUAAGUAGUGUGAAUUGCAGAAUUCAGUGAAUCAUCGAAUCUUUGAACGCACAUUGCGCCCUUUGGUAUUCCAAAGGGCAUGCCUGUUCGAGCGUCAUUUGUACCCUCAAGCUUUGCUUGGUGUUGGGCGUCUUGUCUCUAGCUUUGCUGGAGACUCGCCUUAAAGUAAUUGGCAGCCGGCCUACUGGUUUCGGAGCGCAGCACAAGUCGCACUCUCUAUCAGCAAAGGUCUAGCAUCCAUUAAGCCUUUUUUUCAACUUUUGACCUCGGAUCAGGUAGGGAUACCCGCUGAACUUAAGCAUAUCAUAAAAGCGGAGA